This 465-nucleotide ribosomal RNA is filed under the name Vreelandella stevensii. RNAcentral's name for it is "partial 16S ribosomal RNA". It matches the Rfam family "Bacterial small subunit ribosomal RNA", at positions 338 to 795 of the family's 1533-position model. The record is from RNAcentral. Lineage: Bacteria; Pseudomonadati; Pseudomonadota; Gammaproteobacteria; Oceanospirillales; Halomonadaceae.
CCUACGGGUGGCAGCAGUGGGGAAUAUUGGACAAUGGGCGAAAGCCUGAUCCAGCCAUGCCGCGUGUGUGAAGAAGGCCUUCGGGUUGUAAAGCACUUUCAGUGGGGAAGAAAGCCUUGGGGCUAAUACCCUCGAGGAAGGACAUCACCCACAGAAGAAGCACCGGCUAACUCCGUGCCAGCAGCCGCGGUAAUACGGAGGGGGCGAGCGUUAAUCGGAAUUACUGGGCGUAAAGCGCGCGUAGGCGGUCUGAUAAGCCGGUUGUGAAAGCCCCGGGCUCAACCUGGGAACGGCAUCCGGAACUGUCAGGCUAGAGUGCAGGAGAGGAAGGUAGAAUUCCCGGUGUAGCGGUGAAAUGCGUAGAGAUCGGGAGGAAUACCAGUGGCGAAGGCGGCCUUCUGGACUGACACUGACGCUGAGGUGCGAAAGCGUGGGUAGCAAACAGGAUUAGAUACCCUAGUAGUC